Molecule: long non-coding RNA, 604 nt
Organism: Pseudophryne corroboree (corroboree frog)
Lineage: Eukaryota; Metazoa; Chordata; Amphibia; Anura; Myobatrachidae
Exons: 6
Source: RefSeq, a predicted model, not a curated record
ACACAAUCAAUUUAGUGGGAUGAGGAAGUGAUGUAAUUAGCUAGGGUGCUUAAAUAGGGAGGUUUUUGAACUCUGCUCUCAUUCCACUUUUGGAUCUCUGUGUAUGAGGACACACAAGGAGAGCUGCUGGGAAAUAAAAGAAGCUUAAUAUUAUUUAUCCCAUUGCCGGAUCCUCAUAUAUAUUUUUUGGACACAUGAAAGUAUUAUAGGUAAAUUAAAUAAAAAUUUGGACAAAUUAAUUACAAGCCUUUGGAAGAUUAAUAUUAACCAUCAGAUGGUCGCAAAUAGGAAGAUUCAUUAAAUACUACAAAACUAUGGAAGUUAAUUAUACAUAAUAAUUCUUAGUAAAAUAUGGAUUAUAAUUUUGUGAAAAUACAGCUGUUUCAAACUAAUUAAUUGCCUUUUCAUAAAAAACACUCCUGAAGAAGUCGACAUACGACGAAACGCGUUGAGUGUAAAAAUCUUUUAUUGUUUGGAAAAGUUGUUAUUCAAUUUUUUGGCUGUAAUGAACAAUAACACAUUGUAAAAGUGUACAUCAUUUUUUAUCAGUAUUGAAAUUUAAUUAUUUUAGCAAUAAAAAGCAAUAGAUGUUUUAAAGUUUAAA